This 253-nucleotide ribosomal RNA is filed under the name uncultured bacterium. Its description in RNAcentral is "partial 16S ribosomal RNA". It matches the Rfam family "Bacterial small subunit ribosomal RNA", at positions 524 to 776 of the family's 1533-position model. The record is from RNAcentral.
UACGUAGGGCGCGAGCGUUGUUCGGAUUUACUGGGCGUAAAGAGCUCGUAGGCGGAUUGUUGCGUCAGCUGUGAAAUCCCGCAGCUCAACUGUGGGCUUGCAGCUGAUACGGGCGGGCUAGAGUUCGGUAGAGGUGAGUGGAAUUCCUGGUGUAGCGGUGAAAUGCGUAGAUAUCAGGAGGAACACCAGAGGCGAAGGCGGCUCUCUGGGCCGAUACUGACGCUGAGGAGCGAAAGCGUGGGGAGCAAACAGG